This 388-nucleotide ribosomal RNA is filed under the name uncultured bacterium. RNAcentral's name for it is "bacterial SSU rRNA". It matches the Rfam family "Bacterial small subunit ribosomal RNA", at positions 28 to 417 of the family's 1533-position model. The record is from RNAcentral.
GACGAACGCUGGCGGCGUGCUUAACACAUGCAAGUCGAGCGGUAAGGCCCUUUCGGGGGUACACGAGCGGCGAACGGGUGAGUAACACGUGGGUGACCUGCCCUCAGCUCUGGGGUAAGCCCGGGAAACUGGGUCUAAUACUGGAUAUGACUCCAUGACGCAUGUUGUGGGGUGGAAAGCCUUGUGCGGCUGAGGAUGGGCCCGCGGCCUAUCAGCUUGUUGGUGGGGUGAUGGCCUACCAAGGCGACGACGGGUAGCCGGCCUGAGAGGGCGACCGGCCACACUGGGACUGAGACACGGCCCAGACUCCUACGGGAGGCAGCAGUGGGGAAUCUUGCGCAAUGGGCGAAAGCCUGACGCAGCGACGCCGCGUGAGGGAUGACGGCCU